Non-coding RNA from Cicer arietinum (chickpea), 5584 nucleotides. NCBI's taxonomy places the organism in Eukaryota, Viridiplantae, Streptophyta, Magnoliopsida, Fabales, Fabaceae. The record is from RefSeq and is a predicted model, not a curated record.
AAUUAUUACAAGGAAUCUUCAUAUAAAUUUAUUAACUAUAGUAAUGGACAUUCUACUUAUUUGUCAAUUAGAGAAAUGGAAAUUCCCAAACAUCACAAGUGGAUGGUUAAUAUGAUGGAUCCUGAUAAGAGAAGAGUAACAUAUGAGUAUAUGGCUGGUGUUUUUGAGUUUGUGCAAUUUUCUUGUGCACAAGAAAAAUUCAAAAAACAAGGAAAGUUGAGAUGCCCAUGUAAAAUAUGCAACUGUAAGAAAAAUCAGUUAGUAAGCGAUGUCAUGGGACAUCUUUGUAUGAAGGGAUUUAUACAGGGUUACUAUUAUUGGACUAACCAUGGUGAAAAAAGGCCUCCAAUUUCACCGAUAAUUUCAAACAACUAUUAGGGAUGUAGUUGGGUUUGGGAAUACUUCAAUGACUGUGAACAAAUGGUAAUGGAUGCAGUUGGACCAUCUCUUGGUACAUAUAUUGAGCAACAACAAAAUGAUUGUGGAGAAAAAAAUUAGGGAAGAUCCUAACCUAGAAGUCAAAAUCCUUUUUGAUAUGUUGAAAGUUGUGCAAGCCCCCUUAUAUAAUGGUUGUGAAAAUUAUUCUGAACUUUCUGCUGGAAUACAAGCUUUAAGUAUCAAGUAUGACUUCAAUAUCUCUGAGACCUGAUUUAAUCAAUGGAUGGAUUUUGUGGAAAAGGCGUUGCCAAAUGACAAUCGAAUGCUUGACAACUUCUAUUGUGAAAAGAAAUCAAUGGAAAAGCUUGGAUUGGGUUUCAUAAAGAUUCAUUGUUUCCCAAAUGGAUGUAUGAUAUAUUACUUUCGUGAUGAUAAAAAUCUUCGUAGUUGUAAAAUUUGUGGUAAAGAUCGUUACAAAAGUGUCAUUAGAAAUGGUAAGGUUAGAUAAGUUCCUUUAAAAAAGACGUGAUAUUUCCUUCGUAUCCCAAGGCUUCAAAGACUUUAUUGGUCAACGCAAAUUGUAAGCCAAAUGAGGUGGCAUCGUGAGAAUAUAAGAGAUUUGGGCUAUUUAUCACAUCCAUCUGAUAGAGAGGCAUAAAAGCAUUUUGAUGAAAGAUAUCCUGAAUUUUCAAUGGACACUAGAAAUGUUAGGCUAUGGUUGUGUGCUGAUGAAUUUGCAUCAUUCAAUAAAACAGGUAGGACAUAUUCAUGUUGGCCAGCAAUUAUUACUCCUUACAAUCUUACACUUUGGAUGUGCAUGACAAGGGAAGGUUGAUGUGUACAUGCAACCACUUAUAUAUGACCUUAAGCUUGUUUAUUAUGGACAAUUAAUGGCUUCCUUGCAUAUGGGAUGUGUCUCUGGUUGGAUGAUAAUGGGAAAACUUGCUUGUCCAAUAUGUAUGGAGAAUACAAAAGCAUUCACCCUUAGUCGAAAGACUACAUUUUUUUACUGUCAUAGAAAAUUCUUGCCCUUUGAUCAUUGCUAUAGAAGGAAUAAGAAUUCUUUUAGGAAGAGAAAAGAUGAGACAACGUUGCCACCACAAAGGUUGACAAAUGAAGAAAUAUGGGAAAGGGUUAAACAUUUACCAAGCAUAAUUGGACCUCUAUAUGAUAAUUUGUUGGGGUAUGAAGUUUUUUUACAAUUGGACCAAAAAAACCAUCUUUUGGGAGUUAACAUAUUGGAAAACAAAUUUUCUCCCACCUAAUCUAGAUGUCACGCAUAUUGAGAGAAAUGUGUUUCUCAAUAUAUUGUAUACGAUAAUGGAUACCAAGGGAAAGACGAAGUACACUUUUAAUGCUAUAUUGGACUUGGUAGAUAUUUGUAGACAAAAAGAUUUAGAUCUACAAGAUGGUAAAAGGGGAAAGCUAAAAAAGCCGAAAGCAAAUUACACAUUAACAAAACAACAAAGAUUAUUUGUAUGCGAGUGGAUAAAAAAACUAAAUUUACCAAAUGGGUAUGCCUCUACCAUGUCUAGGUGUGUUAAUAUGUGAGAAGCAAAGUUAUUUGGAAUGAAAAGUCAUGAUUGUCAUGUGUUUUUGCAAUGCUUGCUCCCAAUUCCAUCAAAGCUCUACCAAAACCUAUUUGGAACACACUUACAUAGUUUAGUCAAUUCUUUCGAGAGCUUAUUUCGCCUAUACUAAAAGAGGAUAAUAUACGUGUAAUGGAGCAAAAUAUUCCAAUCAUUUUGUGAGCAAAAUAUGCCUCUACCUUGUCUAGGUGUGUUGAUACGCGAGAAAAAAAGUUGUUUGGAAUGAAAAAUCAUGAUUGUCAUGUGUUCUUGCAACGCUUGCUCCGAAUUGCAUUCAAAGCUCUACCGAAACCUUUUUGGAACACACUUUCAGAGUUUAGUCAAUUAUUUCGAGAGCUUACUUCGCCUUUACCAAAAGAGGAUAAUAUACGUGUAAUGGAGCAGAAUAUUCCAAUCAUUUUGUGUAAGUUUGAACAAAUAUUUCCCCCUAGUUUCUUUGACUUUAUGGAGCUUCUUCCAAUUCAUUUGCGGUUUGAAGCUAAGGUUGGUGGUCUUGUGCAAUACUGAUGGAUGUAUCCUUUUGAAAGGUUGGGUCAUCUAUCAACAUUAUUAAUUAUUACCAUGCAAUACUUAUUGUAUUAAUUUCUUCAAAUACUUUUAUUAGGUUUAUUCGUACCUUAAAAGACAAGGUCACCAACACAACUGAUGUUGAAGGCUCUAUUUGUGAAGCAUACUUUGUGGGAGGACAAGAGUGCCACAAAAUGAUGAUGGAGGUGAAGGUUGUUUUGAUGAUGGAAAACACACCCCAUGUUUCUUAGAAAAAAGAGAAAUGAGAGUUGCACAAUUAUAUGUUCUUCUAAUUCCAUAAGUUGAGCCAUUUUUGUUGUAGGCACUUUUAUAUGUUCUUCUUUUAGUGACUAAUAACUUGGAAAAUUAAUAAAGUUGCUUAACAUGAGAAUUUGUUGUAGCAUAUAUAUAGAUUUACUACAAGAAAUUGGUGUAAGCCACUCAUUAGUUGACAAGGAAAUCUCUAAAUCAUUUCCUCAUUGGUUUAAAGAAUAUGUAUGGCGAACUUGAUCUUCCUAAUUUCAUAAUAUCACCCACUUUUUAUAUUAGGUGAAAUUAAUUUGAUCAUUUUCAAAUUAGGUUUCAAAAAACCAUGUUGAAGAUAACUUUUUUAGGAGUUUGGCGUAGGGGCCCAAGAAAAAAGUCAAUAAAUGGUCAAUAUAUUAUGUUAAUGGAUAUAAGUUUAGUACAAAAGACCAUGAUUUUUUUAUGAGCACAAUAAAUUGUGGUGUAUCUGUUCAAAGAGGUGACAACGAGACAAUAGAAAAUGAUUAUUAUAGGGUGUCAACCGAUAUUGUGGAAGUUUACUAUAUAUGAUGGCUAAUAAAGAAGUUGGUUUUGUUCAAAUGUGAUUGCUUCGAUCCUACUAUGAAUCAAGGGACAACGAUAGACAACUAUGGAAUUUUUGAAGUCCGAGCAUCUAGAAAAUAUAAAUAUUAUGACCAAUUUAUAUUUGCACAAGCAAAACAAGUAUACUAUACAUAAUACCCUGAAGGACAAAGUGAUUGGUGGGUUGUGAUUAAGACCAAGGCACGAAAUAGAAUUCAAACAAGAGAAACUAGUAAGCUUGAGAAAGAUAUUUCGUAACAAGAUGAAUCAAUCACACAAUCACAUGUGACAAUUGUGAAUGACAAUCUUGAAGAAAAUCUUGUUGAUUUUUUUGGAGGAGGAGGAGGAUUAAUUAAAUCAUUUACUAUGUAGUUUUUGAGUUUGUUAGAACUAUGCUCACAUGGUAGUGAAUUUCUUUCUAACUUCAAAUUUUUAGGGGAAGAGGUAGAGGAAUAAUUACAAGUCUGCCACUUAUCUCAUAUUCCCGAAUGAGGCCAACACCACUCAUGUCUCAACCAUUACAAAAAAAAACCCUAUAACAACCUCAUCUCCUCAACCUCAAAUUAGGCCACCACCAUUAUAUCUCAACCAUUACAAAAAAACCAUUGCAUCUGUCCCAUCUCCUCAAUCCCAAACUAGACCAACAACACUCAUAUCGCAACCAUUACAAAAAGUCGAUAUCGCUGUCCAAUCUCCUCAUUCCCAAACUGUACCAACAACACUUAUAUCGCAACCUUUACAAAAGUCGAUACAACAUCCCCAUCCCCUCAUUCCCAAACUAGACCAACAUUGCUCAUAUCUCAACACUUACAAAAAAAAAACCUACGUCUUCCCCAAUCAUUCAUCCCCAAACUAAGCAUGCACCAACCAUAUCUCAACCUUUAUGAAAUACCUUUGUAUCAGCCCCGUCUCAUUGUCAAUCACACACUACCCCUAUAUAUGUCCCAUCUCCUCAUUCCCAAAGUGGGACAUCUGCACAUAUGCCACAUGAUCCUUCCAUCGAUGAUGAGUCACAAGUAAAUUCAAAGAAUGAGGUAUCAUCUUUAACACCAGAGAACAUCAAAUGGGGUUCAAAGGAUAUCGAUUGAAGAAUUUGGAUAAGAUCGACACCUGAAAAUAACUUUAAACCAGAAUCCAAAGUGAAGGGUGUUAUCACAAAAAUAUUCAAGAAAAAAAAAUUGGAGGGGCGUGGUCAUGUUGGAGUGAUGUGGAUGACGACCCAAUUGGUGCUUAGUUAGAGGACUUUAAGAGGGUGGAGUUGAAUAGAGAUCCAACCAAUUUUGAGGUUUAUGAGCGACUUCAUAGGCCAAAAGAGAAAUCAGAUGAAUGGUUUAAUGAAAAACAAGCAAAGAUAGUUGUAUGUAUACACCAUCCUUAGAGUAAUGUCUUUACCGUUGUUAGACAAAUGACUUGGAUAAAUAAAGUAACAUAUUAAUAUUGAGAGCGAUGGAUAUGCCAAAUGUUGAAGUAAUGUAUUUGAUAAUUGUAAUUAAGAGAUAGACUCAAUUGACAUACAAUUGAGUUACAAAAUGUAUUACUUUAUUGCUAGAACUAAAAAUGAUUAAAGUGAAAUAGUUGGAAAUACAUUCAUCUUGUAUUCCCGAUUUUAAGUUUUUCAUUUUCAUUUUUUAUUUUUUUGGCUUAAUCAAUUUCAUUACACCCCAUUUGUUUUUCUUUUGGUUUAUUCUUUUUGGUUCUCCUUAAGGUAUAUAGAAGGACGGACUCUUCGUUAAAGGAUGUAAUAUGCUCGACUAUAAUUUUUUUUAUUUUUUAUAAUUGUUGUCUUGAUUGUUUCUUCAUCUGAUGAUGAUAUAUGAAUGUUUUUAUUGCUUUGUUGUACCUUGAUUUUCGUUUGGAUAAUGAGUUGUCAUCUUUCUCCUUAUCAUUAUCCUUAUAUCUAUAUUUCAUUUUUUUCAUAUAUUUUACAUAUUUGUUUUAUAUCUCCUUCGUCAUUUGAGCUUGACUAUGUCGGUUGCGGUGACUUGAGUUUCUAGUUAUCAUCAUCUCCAAUGAUUCUAGUCUGAGUAUUUUUGUAGGCUUGCCAACAACAUAAAAUUGCUCUUCGUGUCCAACAAACGUAGUGUUCCAUUGAUAUCUGCAAUCCAAAAAAUAGUUAGUACCAAAUGAUGUUUCUUUGAUAGUUUAAAAGUUGAAUUUUGUAUUGAAAGAAUUAUUACCUGUUAGAUUUACUAUAUCUCCCAAUCUUUGUGCUAGUGAUUUGAAGGAAGUAAACUCACAGUAAUGAUUUUGAAUGAUAAUUUUUGGGUCUUGGAUUUUGGUUA